This 86-nucleotide transfer RNA is filed under the name archaeon. RNAcentral's name for it is "tRNA-Val". It matches the Rfam family "tRNA". From Rfam's summary of the family: Transfer RNA (tRNA) molecules are approximately 80 nucleotides in length. The record is from RNAcentral.
ACGGGAUUAGCUCAGUUUGGUUAGAGCGCUUGUCUUACAAACAAGAGGCCAUUAGGUUUACAAUGGUUCAAAUCCAUUAUCCCGUA